RNAcentral lists this transfer RNA (72 nucleotides) under Camelus bactrianus (Bactrian camel). It matches the Rfam family "tRNA". Rfam says of the family: Transfer RNA (tRNA) molecules are approximately 80 nucleotides in length. Their secondary structure includes four short double-helical elements and three loops (D, anti-codon, and T loops). Lineage: Eukaryota; Metazoa; Chordata; Mammalia; Artiodactyla; Camelidae. RNAcentral also lists the same sequence under 2 other names. The record is from Rfam by way of RNAcentral.
GCGGGUGUAGCUCAGUGGGAGAGCGCAUGCUGAGCAUCCACGAGGUCCUGGGUUCAAUCCCCAGUGCCGCCA